This 77-nucleotide transfer RNA is filed under the name Anguilla anguilla (European eel). Its description in RNAcentral is "tRNA-OTHER". The record is from RNAcentral. Lineage: Eukaryota; Metazoa; Chordata; Actinopteri; Anguilliformes; Anguillidae.
UACAGUGUAGCACAGUGGGUAAGGAACUGGGCUUGUAACCAAAGGUCGCAGGUUCGAUUCUCUCACUGCCGUUGUAC